RNAcentral lists this ribosomal RNA (725 nucleotides) under uncultured bacterium. Its description in RNAcentral is "bacterial SSU rRNA". It matches the Rfam family "Bacterial small subunit ribosomal RNA", at positions 83 to 839 of the family's 1533-position model. The record is from RNAcentral.
UCCCUGAGUACAGUGGCGCACGGGUGAGUAACACGUGAAUCAUCUACCUUCGAGUGGGGAAUAACUGAGAGAAAUCUUAGCUAAUACCGCAUAAUACCUACGGGUCAAAGCAGCAAUGCGCUUGAAGAGGAGUUCGCGGCAGAUUAGUUAGUUGGCGGGGUAAUGGCCCACCAAGACGAUGAUCUGUAUCCGGCCUGAGAGGGCGCACGGACACACUGGAACUGAAACACGGUCCAGACUCCUACGGGAGGCAGCAGUGGGGAAUUUUGCGCAAUGGGGGAAACCCUGACGCAGCAACGCCGCGUGGAGGAUGAAAUCCCUUGGGAUGUAAACUCCUUUCGAUCGGGAAGAUAAUGACGGUACCGAGAGAAGAAGCCCCGGCUAACUUCGUGCCAGCAGCCGCGGUAAUACGAGGGGGGCAGGCGUUGUUCGGAAUUAUUGGGCGUAAAGGGUGCGUAGGCGGUUUGAUAAGUCACAUGUGAAAUCUUCGGGCUCAACCCGAAGUCUGCAUGCGAAACUGUCGGGCUUGAGUAUGGGAGAGGUGAGUGGAAUUUCCGGUGUAGCGGUGAAAUGCGUAGAUAUCGGAAGGAACACCUGUGGCGAAAGCGGCUCACUGGACCAUAACUGACGCUGAUGCACGAAAGCUAGGGGAGCAAACAGGAUUAGAUACCCUGGUAGUCCUAGCCCUAAACGAUGAUUGCUUGAUGUGGUGGGUACCCAAUCCC